Molecule: long non-coding RNA, 349 nt
Organism: Siniperca chuatsi (mandarin fish)
Lineage: Eukaryota; Metazoa; Chordata; Actinopteri; Centrarchiformes; Sinipercidae
Exons: 4
Source: RefSeq, a predicted model, not a curated record
UCUGCACUAAAUCACAGUGUUGUUUGUGUACAACAACUGUAAGAGCCAAACAUUCAGAAAGAUGCAGGCAUUUGGAGUAAAGAUUGUUGCUCUGGUUGUGGUCAUGAUGCUGGUCUCCAGCUCUUUGGCUAGUCCUACCCAUGUGAUUGAGAAGCGCUCAAGUGAGGAGAAACGCCGCACUACCAAAACCAACAACCUAUCCUUGGCCCAGCUUACUGAGCUGCUCCAGAUCCUGAAGCUCAUCAAGGACUUGUCUCAACAGCUUGCAAAACCAUGAUGUUACCAUGCUCUGAAUAAAUAACUUACUGGUUUAAUGCAAAUGAAAGCAAUAAAGAACCCUUAAAAUGCA